Lactuca sativa (garden lettuce) is the source of this 2248-nucleotide non-coding RNA. The record is from RefSeq and is a predicted model, not a curated record. Lineage: Eukaryota; Viridiplantae; Streptophyta; Magnoliopsida; Asterales; Asteraceae.
UUUAUAUUUAAUUUAAUUUUUUUAAAAUUAACUCAUGUAUUGCAUGAGUCUCACAAUUAGUAUUUUAUAAAAUAAUCCGAUUCGGAUAUAUUGGUAAUUUGUUUAGACCCUUUGAUGUUUUCAUUUUAGCGUCAUUUAUUUUUUAUUUUAUUCCCUUUCACUUUUCAAAAUCCAGUAAAUAAUCAUUUGUUUCUUUAUUCUUUUACCAACACAAAAAAAUAAAAAUCCGAAUAUCUCAUUACUUCAAAAUACAAAAUUAAAUAAUUAGAAAAAAAACGGGGUUUAAGAAAAAAAAACAAACAUAAAACAAUUUACAAGAAAUAUUUUUUCGCAAUCUCACCCCUCAUAUUCAAAGAAAGCUAGAGGGCGUGUCCCGAAAGAUAAUCGGUACUUUGCAAAAAAAAAAAAUCACAGAACUUCCAUUUGUUUUUUCUCUGUGCAUGCUUUUUGUUUUGGCAAAAUUUUCUUUUACAAAUGUCAAAAGUUCAAUGAAAGUCAAGUUAUUCCAUUCAAAUGUCUCCGCAUUUCCUCAUUUCAUCUCUUUCAUUGCUGAAAUCUAACAUAUUUGAAGAAAACCCCUUCUCCUUCCUAUUUGCUUUGUCCCUACCCAUUUGUUGGACAUUUUCUUCUAACUCGAACUCAUCGCCAUCUUUUAAAUCUAACCUGACAAGAGCAUCCGGAGAAGCUGUAUAUCCACUUGAUUCCGUUUUUGCUCUUUUUCUUGCUUCUUCUCCAAGUAUAAUGUUGGCUUCGAAUUCUUUCUAUUUUGGACUAGAAGAUAACUCUUUCUAAGGUCAUUAAACUUGAAUGCCUUUCUGGUUUCCUCACAAUACAAAUGAAACGCCUCUUGAAGAAUUUCUUCAUCACCUUGAUCGUUCUCCUUUGAUUUUUAGGUUGUUGUACAACCCGAUUAUCUUUAAAACGCUCUUCGAGAUUUCUCAAAACUUUGAAUUUAGUUGGUGUUUAGUAUGGUUAUCAUCACCAACACCCAUUCUUCACGAAAUCUUUCAGUAAUGCGUAACAAAAAAUGAUCAAUCAAUUGUGCAUUUCCUAGCUGUGAAUUCUCCAAAAUGUCAACCUAAAAUUGUGUUAACACUAACUCUUCUCUCAUACUCCACCCUUUUGGAAUGAACUUUAUUUUAUAUGUCGUCGAUUCUUUUCCUUUGCGACAUGGAAGGGUGGCGGGUGAGGGGGUUGAGUUUCCCAUAUAACUUCGUCAUUUGAUUUACCGAGGCUUUGGGUUUGAGGGUUGUAGGAUGGGGUUGGUUUGGUGAAAGUUGAUUGGGAAAUGCACGAAGUUGUUGAAGAUGUUGGGGUUAACAUUUGGCACUUGCAUGGGGUACUAUUGUUGAACAUUUUGAUAUUGAAAUUAUAGAAGGGAUUGAAUAAGGACAUCAAGUUGGGGAAGAUAAAUCGGAAUCGAUGAAUCGAAGGUGAAAAUGUUUCUAGUUGGCGUGUUUGAACAGAAACAAAAGAUUUUCUUCUAUCAUAUUUUGGGGUUGUAUUCUUGAUAUUUAUUUUUGUUGUUAAAAUAGAUAAAAUAGAGAGGAAAAGAUAAAAUAUGGUGUGAUUUUGAUAGUAGAAUAUAAGUCAUGUAUAUAUAUAUAUAUAUAUAUAUAUAUAUAUAUAUAUAGGGUUAUAAAUUGGUAUAUAUAGUGAGAAGGUGAGAAUGCUUAAGGUGAUGCUAGACUCCGUUUCAAUUUCUCAGUAUCUAUACAUCUUUAACUAUUAGCUUGUAAAAGAUCAUCCGUAUUUUGUUGUGUUUGUUUGAUUUAAAUUUACAAUGAGGAUAACAAAAGAACCUAAGGUAACAAAUGACUUACAUUUAUUAUUGAUGCAAUUACUUGUUGUGUUUGUUUGAUUUAAAUUUAAUUAUAAGGUAUGUAUGUAUUUUUUUGCAGGAUAUGGCUUUUGUGACUGAUGGAUAGGCUCUUGAAAUUGCACUCAAUUAUUACCGGAAAGCAUUCACAUAGUUGGAAAUAUUAUCACGGACAACUAUAUGAUGUUGAAUUACACCAUCCCAAAAGAUUUGGAAGAAUUUGUGGAAAAUUUUGAAGAUAUAAAAAGUGAUAAAGUGAAGAAAAUAUUGAAACCUUGGUAUCAAGAAAUGAUAACACUGUGAAUCUUUGUAGCAUUUUUUAUUUUUAUAUGUUAUUUUGUAUCGAAUAAAAUACUUGUAGUAUUAAGUUUAUAAUUCAAGAAAUAUGCAUAUAUGCAUUUGAAAAAAUAUGCAUAUAUACACCUAAAA